AUAGCGUAUAUUAAAGUUGUUGCAGUUAAAAAGCUCGUAGUUGGAUCUCAGUUCGAGUCAGUCGGUCCACUUGCCAGUGGUUACUGAUUGACUGAACACUUUAUCGAGUUGUCCUAUGGUAUUCUUUACCGAGUGUCAUAGGCGAUCGAUACGUUUACUUUGAAAAAAUUAGAGUGCUCAAAGCAGGCGUACAGCCCGAAUAAUGUUGCAUGGAAUAAUGGAAUAGGACCUCGGUUCUAUUUUGUUGGUCUUCGGAAUCUGAGGUAAUGAUUAAGAGGGACAGACGGGGGCAUUCGUAUUGCGACGCUAGAGGUGAAAUUCUUGGACCGUUGCAAGACGAA
RNAcentral lists this ribosomal RNA (341 nucleotides) under uncultured eukaryote. RNAcentral describes it as "SSU rRNA". It matches the Rfam family "Eukaryotic small subunit ribosomal RNA", at positions 594 to 939 of the family's 1831-position model. The record is from RNAcentral.